CGUAACAAGGUCUCCGUUGGUGAACCAGCGGAGGGAUCAUUACAGAGUUGCAAAACUCCCACAAACCAUCGCGAAUCUUACCCGUACGGUUGCCUCGGCGCUGGCGGUCCGGAAAGGCCCUCGGGCCCUCCCGGAUCCUCGGGUCUCCCGCUCGCGGGAGGCUGCCCGCCGGAGUGCCGAAACUAAACUCUUGAUAUUUUAUGUCUCUCUGAGUAAACUUUUAAAUAAGUCAAAACUUUCAACAACGGAUCUCUUGGUUCUGGCAUCGAUGAAGAACGCAGCGAAAUGCGAUAAGUAAUGUGAAUUGCAGAAUUCAGUGAAUCAUCGAAUCUUUGAACGCACAUUGCGCUCGCCAGUAUUCUGGCGAGCAUGCCUGUUCGAGCGUCAUUUCAACCAUCAAGCUCUGCUUGCGUUGGGGAUCCGCGGCUGUCCGCGGUCCCUCAAAAUCAGUGGCGGGCUCGCUAGUCACACCGAGCGUAGUAACUCUACAUCGCUAUGGUCGUGCGGCGGGUUCUUGCCGUAAAACCCCCCAUUUCUAAGGUUGACCUCGGAUCAGGUAGGAAUACCCGCUGAACUUAAGCAUAUCA
RNAcentral lists this ribosomal RNA (587 nucleotides) under Neurospora intermedia. Its description in RNAcentral is "eukaryotic LSU rRNA". The stretch from base 234 to 387 matches the Rfam family "5.8S ribosomal RNA". Lineage: Eukaryota; Fungi; Ascomycota; Sordariomycetes; Sordariales; Sordariaceae. The record is from RNAcentral.